This 476-nucleotide unclassified non-coding RNA is filed under the name Hevea brasiliensis (rubber tree). The record is from RNAcentral. Lineage: Eukaryota; Viridiplantae; Streptophyta; Magnoliopsida; Malpighiales; Euphorbiaceae.
CUGAAUGGGGUUCAUAGGAUUCUUGAACUGAUAUUAUUCAGGCUAAAAUCAGAAUUUAAGCAAUAAUCUUAACAUUUGCCCGGUAACAAAACUAGGUGAAUUAACCUAGUUCAACAUUUAUCUUUUUCUCUGUUCAUGCUUAUAAGCUAUCAGAAAACAAAUUUUUAAGCAGCAGAUGUUGAUUUUUCAGACUCUAGUUGUUGUUUCCACUGUCCUGGGGUCACAGCUUUCUUUAUUGAGAGGGCAUGAAUCUGUUUCAUCUCCUCUUCCAAAGCAGCAUUAACCAGUCGAUGUCGCUCGAGCAACCUCUUCCCUUCAAACUGUUCUGAAACAAUCUCAAUUGCAAAGCUUGCACCACAUCCUCCAGAUGUAUCAAUUAUUUCAAGAUGUGAAGGAUUCAAUUUUGAUUUCAAAGUAGAUUCAACUUGUUCCUUUGUCACUCCCAUACUUCUCUCUCUGGCGUCCCAGCGUUUGCU